RNAcentral lists this small RNA (6926 nucleotides) under Pan troglodytes (chimpanzee). Its description in RNAcentral is "retained intron". The record is from RNAcentral. Lineage: Eukaryota; Metazoa; Chordata; Mammalia; Primates; Hominidae.
UGACCUCAGUUUAACUUGAUCACCUCUGUAGAGACCCUGUCUCCAAAUACAGUCACAUUCUGAGUUCCUAAGCAUUAGGACUUUAACAUAGGAGUUUGGGGAGGGGGACACAAGUCAACAUAAUAGGCGUUUAUAAUUAAUGAUAUGGCAUUUCAUAAUAUGGAAAAUAAAAGAGCAUUUUGUCAAAAAUUAUUUGCUUUCAUAUGGCUCUAAACUACGUAGUACAUCCCCAAAAUGUAAGAAACGAACUGGACUUACAGAAAUUAACUUGUCCUCUAUAUACAUAGUGUAUGACUCAUAAAAAACUAUAAUAAAACUAUGGUUUAAUAAAGAAGCUAAUUAGUAUCACUUUCUAAAUUGGAAUUUGUCUUUGAGUAGUUAUUCAGCCUCAACUGGAGCCUGUUAUAAGCACCCUUUUGGGGUAGAAGUUUGGCAUUGAUAACUUAACACUGGAUGCUAGAGGACAAAUUUUCAGCAGAAGGAGCUGUAUGUGCUACUGAAGCCUGGAGCUUACUAGAGGUUGAUUUUAAUGUUUCUCUUGCUUUCCCACUAAUGAGAUCUAAAUUAUAGGACUGAUAGACUUUUUUUCCCUUUACUCAUUAUUUAAGAGCCAGUUCAUAUUUUAAUUUCUCAUUGAAUUGCCCGUAAAAUAUUAAAUAAGAUAAAUGCAGCACAAUUAUCCAACUUAGGAAAUGUGCUUUUUUUUCUUUCCUUUUAAAUUCUUAGCUGGGUUUUGUUAAGAGCUUCAGCAAAAUCGAUUUUCUCUAUUUUUUGAAAUGGUGCUCCAUUUGUAUGGCUAGGAAGAGGGCACUGCAGUUCAACAGUUGGAGUCUUUAGGUGUGAUAAAUAAACAAAAGCUGGUUCCAUUAUUCCUGUGGUUUUCCUCAUCUUUUUUUCUUUCGAUGGACACAAAAUAAUGCUGAUUUUCACCUUUAGGAAAAGGUUAUUCUGCCAUUUCUCAUGGCCAUUAGUGAUGGAAGCUGUAAUGUGAAGUCCGUUGAAUGGACUUGUCUCCCAAUACCUUUUGUCUUUUAGACACCCACUUCUGUCGAUACCCUGUGGUGAUUUUUACAAAGUGCUUGGAUGGUCAUUCUGUCUGAUGUGCCAGUGAGGCUUCCUUUGACUGACAGUUGAGCGUCUGAUUCAUACGCUUCAGUAGCUGUUGGACCACAGGCCCAAGCCUGAUGGGUGAAACAAAUACCGUAGUAUUAUGAUAUGAUUACCUGGAACCACAAAUCCAGAUUCACUCAAAUGAAUUAAAUUGAUUUUGAUUUGCAGUCUAAGAAAAUAAGGUUCCAGAAUGUCAGCCAUCUAUUCUUUCCCCUGGUCUUUAGCUAAGUUGUAAUACUACUAGGGUAGAUUUUAUUUAUGUAUAAUCUGAUUAUAGCACAGCAGAAAUAGUCAAAACCCUAGUUAAUAAUUUUUUUUCUACAAAAGUACAUUCUUAUGCAUAGGACUAUAUUAAAUAUUUGUCGUGGCUCAGAAGUAGAUUUAGUUUUGACCAGUUAGAAGGUACUGUGCAUUAAACACAUGGAUAUACAUUGUCUCUCAUAACAAAUAAUUUCUCACUCUAGGAAUUAUUUGUAGUCUUGACACUAUUUUUUGGACAAAGAUAAGAACUCACCUUAAUUUGUAGAUAUGUCAGACUGAGGAAGCCCAUUUUUUCUCAUCUCCAUAUUUUUUACUGAUAUUUAAAAAAGAUAUUGGGCUCUAUAUAUUAAGCUUCUCUUACAUGCAUAUGGAGACCUUGGACUGGUGGUCCAAGGUGGUGGUUCUGGAAUCUGCUGCUUACACAAUCUAGUUAAUUUCUAAACAGACCAAAAAUCAAAGAACCUACAGAAUUAUAGGCCUAACUCCCAAGCCUCUCUAUAAGUAUCUCUGAGGUGGAUCCUGGUAAUAGAUGUUUUUAUAAAAGUACCUCAUGUGACUUGAAUGCAUAGCCAGGUUUGAAAACUUCUGUCCUGAGCUGACUGAGUGUCAAUACCCUGUUGGUUUAGUUGGCGUCUCUUUACCUCCAAAUAGUCUAUAGUGGAGCUGCCAGAAAUCUCUUGAGUUCAUGAUUGAUAGUGGAUUAUUUAUGAAACAAGUCUCUGGAAGUUUUAUGAUAUAACUUAUAAUUGUAAGCUAUAACUUCUAUUCCAUUAUAUCUUUGAAUUUUGGUAUGCCUUGCAUUAAAACUACUCUUACAGAGAAUUUUUAUUCUCUAAUCUCAUAUUUCAACAGGCUUCUUUUCACCCUAAAAAUCCUGAUGUUAAAAAUUGUUUAAAAUAACAUUGAUACCAAAAGAAGACUAAAACUGAGAUGAGAUGAGUAAAAAUGAAUUUUUAAUGGUAUCAAAUUAUCCUCUUUUGAAUGGAUAAGUAAAAGUUUAAUUACUUUUUAGAAAGCAUAUCAUGCAUCUUGUUACCCCCAGUGAAUCCUAUAACUAGAAAUAUAUCACCUACUUUUGGAAAACAAACUGAAAUAGGAUGCACAUGAAGGGCACUUUAGCUGUCUGAUUAAGCAGAAUCCAUUGAUGUGUUUGUUUCCAACAGGCCCAGUCUUUGUCUCUGCAUCCCAUACAAUGAUUCAGUACAAAUCACUUUAUAACCUUACUUUUCUAUCUUUCAAUAUAGUGUUUGUUUUCAGAGUUUAUCUUUAGUUAUCUGUCUCUAGGUUUAGAACAUCUUGUUUUAAAGUAGCAGAAAUUAGUUCAUACUCAUUUCUUAAAUAUGGACUCUGACUUCCACCAUGUCUGGAUGUAUAUUUUAAGGGCUUAUUUCCAUGAGAAAUGUUAUGUGUGAGAUAUAUGUGUUAAGCUACUGGCUUUGGGCCUGUUUAUCUUUGACUUGUUCUGAGUUUCCCUAUCACCUUAAAAACAUUUGAAGGCCAGGGCUGAAGGAUAUGAUAGAAUAACACCUCUUUUAGCAACAACAUGUGACUCUAUAGACUGACUCUGGUUUGGGAUAUGCUGACUCUGAUUUCUUAUAUUGCAGGCUCAAAUGUCCUAAUUUACCCUUUGUGUAUCUCUAUGAACUAUUCUUGAGCUUUUAUGCAAUCCUGUGUGAAAAAUCAGCCAGCCAUUUUAUUUUGGCAUUUACCGACUAGCGAAAUACUGACUAGUACCCACUCAAAGAGUGCAAUAUUCAAGAAAAUGCUGAGUGGUAUUUGGAUUUUAGCUUGCCUGUCAUGAAAUUCUCUUUAAUAUUUUACCAGUCCUCUUUAAAAUUUUGCCAGUUGAAAAAAACAAACAAACAAACAAACAAAAAUUACUGUCUUAUAAUAGUUUCUAUUUCUUGGUUAUAUAACGGAAGUGUCCACUUCCCUCUUUUCCAGCUUAGGAGCUUUAGUGUGCUCAGUUGAACCCCAAAGUAUACAUACGUGAGCCCAGCACUAUCACCUCACUAGGCAUCCAGCAGGUCCCUGGGUAAGGGAUCUUUGAAAGAUCUGGAAAGAGGGAUGGGACAUCUAGUUAGAGGCAGGUCUCACUCAACAGCCAGAGGGAAGGGGCAAUCAGCAAGUGGGUGUGACGUUUCCCCCUGAAUACUCAGCUAUCCAGGUCCUGAUGAAGCUCGGCUCUUGGGCACCCUGCAAGUGUCCUUGCUCAAGGUCUUUCUCUCAGUACACUGGGUCCAGUGGAAUAUCUAAGAAUUAUCUGGAUCCAGGGAUAAGAUGAAGGCCUUGGAUUUCAUGCCCCUCUUUUCAUCACCAUUAAGUCUUUUGCCAUUUCUAACUUUUCUUUUAUCAUUUUUUUCCCAUAAUAAUCCUCAAUAAAGAUUUCUGCAAGGAAAUUCCUAAUAACCCUUUAGAGAAGAACACAAGUAGAAAAAAAAAAAAAAGUUGUUCUUCUCCUGUAGGGGAAGCAGGGCUCAGGCUUUAGACAGAUAGUGCCAGAUCUUAUGAGAUAAUUUUCACUGAUUAUGGGUCAUGACCACAUUAGAGGAUUAGUUAAUUGGCUUCUCCUGUUAACAUCAACAAUGACAACCACCACCAAAAGGAAAAAAGCAAAAAACAAAAAAAGCUAGCUUUCAUACAAAAAAAUAGGGUAUCUUCUACUCUGUAGCAUUCAAAUGAAGAAUAUAGGAAACAAUGAAGAAUUAACUGAAUAAUCUUUACAAUGCAAUGCAAAGUAAAUUACAAAAAUAAGUAAAUCACUAUAGCUACACAUGAAAUCCGCUUGCACUUACUGUGCAUCCACGGUUUCAGUCCAAUUCAGGUACAUUAAUUGUAUUUAUUCCUUACAAGAUUUUUAUGAGUUAUUUUUAGACCCAUUCUAAAGCUGAGUACACCAACAGGUUAGAGUUGAUAAAUAACUUGGCCUAACAUCAUACAAUUGUUACUAAAUGUUAUACGAAAUCUUUUUUUUUUAAUUUUUUUUUUUUUUCAGACAGGGUCUUGCACCAUCGCCCAGGCUGGAGUGCAGUGGUGUGAUCUUGGCUCAUUGCAACCUCUGUCUCCUGGGUUCAAGCAAUUCUUAGGCCUCAGCCUUUCAAGAUAGCUGUGAUUACAGGUGUGUGCCACCACGCCCAGCUAAUUUUUGUAAUUUUACUAGAGACGAGGUUUCUGCCAUGUUGGCUGGGCUGGUCUGGAACUUCUGGCCUCAAGCAAUCCCCGCCUCAGCCAUCCAAAGUGCCAGACUACAGGCGUGAGCCACUGCGCCCAGCUUCUUUUUUGGUUUUUACAUUUUUCCUUUUGGCUGUUGUUGUCAACAUUGUUAACAUGAGAAGCCAAUUGCCCAGUUCUCUAAUGAAGAUCCACCACUGUCUUUCUAAAACUUGAGUUCUGCUUACCCUACAGGAGAGAAUAAACUUUUUUUUUUUUAAGAGAUGGAGUCUCACUCUGUCACUCAGGCUGAAGUGCAGUGGUGCAGUCUCGGCUCACUGCAACCUCCGCCUCCCGGGUUCAAGCAAUUCUUCUGCCUCAGCCUCCCCGGUAGCUGGGAUUACAGGUGUCCACCACCACGCCUGGCUAAUUUUUGUAUUUUUAGUAGAAUUGGCCAGGCUUGUCUCGAACUCCUGACCUCAGGUGACCCGCCUGCCUUGGCCUCCCAAAGUCCUGGGAUUACAGGUGUGAACCACUGCAUCCGGCCAGAUAAGCGUGUUUUAUGUUUUUUCUCCUUGGGUUCUUGUCUAAAGGGUUAUUAAAAUUUUUCUGAGUUUUUAACUUUUUCAUUUCAUUAUUUUUUUCUAUAAUAAACCUCAAUGAUAAUUUCCAAAAGGAAACUAUAUUGCUAUUUCUCCUUCUUACCUUGCAACAUUAGAUGAAACCUAUAGAACACUGCUAGGUACUAAUGGAAUUAAUGUUGAUUCUGAUCUUAUUAAAAGAAGUCUGUUGUUUUUUAGCUUCUGUUCUUUAGCAUAUUUUAAAAGUCUCAUACUAUUUGAAAUAUUUACAUAGACUUUUAAACCGGAAUGCCUGCUGAAAUUUGUUUUUCAGAAUUUAUUUAUAUAAUUACAGGAAUUUUCACCUCUAAUUUGUUAGCAUUUGAAGUCUAUUGAUGGAUUUUUAUCAUGUGGAACCAUAUAUGCAUUCAUGGAAUAAGUACAACUUGGUAGACUUAUUUUAAUAUAUUGCUUGAUUUGGUUUGCAAAUGUCCAUUUCCUGGCGUUCUAGUUAAUUGAAAUACUUGCUUUCCCCAAAGCAGCAACACCAGUACUUUUUCUUUCAAUAAUAACAUUGGUGUUCAUAUUCUAAAAUAUCUAGCUUUUCCUGUGCCAGACUUAAAGGUUAGUUAUAUUUUAAUACUACAUGUUUUAUGCAGCUCCUUAAACCUCAAAUCAGAACAACACUAGUGAUAGUUGUCUCCAUAUGUUCUCAUUAGAAUUCUACCAAAUAUCUGGCUGGGUAGCUGCCCUCGUCAGGUGGAACAUGUAACCAUCAAACUGAAGCAUGAAUUGGGGAUUACAGCUGUAAUGAAUUUCCAGACUGAAUGGGAUAUUGUACAGAAUUCCUCAGGCUGUAACCGCUACCCAGAGCCCAUGACUCCAGACACUAUGAUUAAACUAUAUAGGGAAGAAGGCUUGGCCUACAUCUGGAUGCCAACACCAGAUAUGAGCACCGAAGGCCGAGUACAGAUGCUGCCCCAGGCGGUGUGCCUGCUGCAUGCGCUGCUGGAGAAGGGACACAUCGUGUAUGUGCACUGCAACGCUGGGGUGGGCCGCUCCACCGCGGCUGUCUGCGGCUGGCUCCAGUAUGUGAUGGGCUGGAAUCUGAGGAAGGUGCAGUAUUUCCUCAUGGCCAAGAGGCCGGCUGUCUACAUUGACGAAGAGGCCUUGGCCCGGGCACAAGAAGAUUUCUUCCAGAAAUUUGGGAAGGUUCGUUCUUCUGUGUGUAGCCUGUAGCUGGUCAGCCUGCUUCUGCCCCCUCCUGAUUUCCCUAAGGAGCCUGGGAUGAUGUUGGUCAAAUGACCUAGAAACAAGGAUUCUACCUGAACUGAAAGGACUGUGUGACCUCCCCCAAGCCAACCACUUUCACCUGGGAUGACUUUCGAUUAUGCUUUGUUUUGGGGCUGUAUUUUUGAAAUACUCUACAAGAAAGCUGUGACUCAACACAUGAGAAGAAGCAUGAAGCAGUUAGGCUGUACAUCAGACAGAAGGGUAAUGCGUGCAGUUCCUGCUGCCUGCAGGCGGACGAGGCCUUUGCUUUACAGCACUGUGUGUGUUGCACGAUGGAUCUGUGACAGCACUUUCCUGUUGCACUGAAACUCUUGGCCAUGCAGAGGAAAAGAUAUGGAGUUAUGUGGAUUUCAUCACUAGUAUGUGUGCGUGAGCUGGUCAGUUGCCAAAGGAGGAAAUAAGGUUAGAAGCCUGAACCGUUACAAAAGAAGAGCUCACUGUGGUCAAAAAGUGAUGGCUUUCAGGACUUGUUUUUUAUCCUGCCUCACAGUUGUUAAAGUCUGUUCCAAGGCAUCACCUUCCUUCUCUACCCAACAACCCUGUGUAACAACU